This is a long non-coding RNA of Gorilla gorilla gorilla (western lowland gorilla), 727 nucleotides long. RefSeq lists it as uncharacterized. The transcript is spliced from 6 exons. NCBI's taxonomy places the organism in Eukaryota, Metazoa, Chordata, Mammalia, Primates, Hominidae. The record is from RefSeq and is a predicted model, not a curated record.
UCUGGACAGAGGUACGCUGUCAGAGAGUGUUUACUUUGCCUCCACUUCUGUUCCUCCCCGCCCUGGUGCUGCUCCGGGUCACAUACUCGUCCUGAGCCAGCUUCAGCCUCUCCGCGCAGAAGUCUCCCGGAGCCAACUUCUGCGAGUCGAGUACUCUUAUGUGAAGUCUACCAAGCUCGUGUUCAAGGGAACCAAGGCGAAGCGGCGAGAUGGAAAGAAAGUAUCAAGGAGUGAACUGAAGCCACUGCCCUUGAGAACCCUCUCGAGGAGUCUGGGCUCAUGAAGAUGCCAGAAUAAGUGGCAGGUAUAUCCUGCAUGAAUGUGAGAUUUUUACUCUGUGAAUUUCCUGUGAGAAGUGUAAGAAGAAAAAGAGCAAAGAUAAGAAGAGAAAAAGAGAAGAAGAUGAAGAAACCCAGCUUGAUAUGUUGGAAUCUGGUGGACAGUAACAAACUUUGGUGAAAUUUCAGGAACCAUAGCCAUUGAUAUGGAUGAGGGAACCUAUAUACAUGCACUCGACAAUGGACUUUUUACCCUGGGAGCUCCACACAAAGAAGUUGAUGAGGGCCCUAGUCCUCCAGAGCAGUUUACGGCUGUCAAAUUAUCUGAUUCCAGAAUCACCCUGAAAUCUGGCUAUGGAAAAUAUCUUGGUAUAAAUUCAGGUGAACUUGUUGUUGGGCGUUCAGAUGCAAUUGGACCAAGAGAACAAUGGGAAACAGUCCUUAAAAAU